UGGCCACAAAUUUCCACCUCUUAAAAUCCA
RNAcentral lists this non-coding RNA (30 nucleotides) under Mus musculus (house mouse). Lineage: Eukaryota; Metazoa; Chordata; Mammalia; Rodentia; Muridae. The record is from RNAcentral.